GAUGAAGAACGCAGCGAAAUGCGGUACGUAAUGUGAAUUGCAGAAUUCAGUGAAUUAUCGAGUCUUUGAACGCACAUUGCGCCCCCUGGUAUUCCGGGGGGCAUGCCUGUCCGAGCGUCAUUGCUGCCCUCAAGCACGGCUUGUGUGUUGGGCCUUCGUCCUCCUCCCGGGGGACGGGCCCGAAAGGCAGCGGCGGCACCGCGUCCGGUCCUCGAGCGUAUGGGGCUUCGUCACCCGCUCUUGUAGGCCCGGCCGGCGCUUGCCGACACAUCAAUCUUUUUUCCAGGUUGACCUUGGAUCAGGUAGGGAUACCCGCUGAACUUAAGCAUAUCAAUAGCGGAGG
Molecule: unclassified non-coding RNA, 343 nt
Filed under: soil metagenome
Description: partial contains 5.8S ribosomal RNA, internal transcribed spacer 2, and large subunit ribosomal RNA
Rfam family: 5.8S ribosomal RNA (bases 1-120)
Source: RNAcentral